CGCUCGAGUUCCCGCGCGGGGCUGCCAAGGCACGACCACGGGCCGGAAGGCUGCCAGGCCCAGUGGGCAAGCGAAGAAAUGAACCACCGCAACAUGGGCGUUUGGGGGCGGGGCCGAGUGCGAGCCUGAGCCCCAAAUCCCGACCCAGGCAGGGGCGGGGCCCGGAGCGGGGCCUUGGAGGCCCAGCCCGCGCGGCGACGUCUCCGCGUGACGUCUCGGCACCGACUGACAGCCACCCACCAUGGCCGCAGACCAGCGCCCGAAGGCCGACACCCUGGCCCUGAGGCAACGGCUCAUCAGGUACCCGGGCGGGGGACGGGCGGCGGGGGGCGCGGGGCUGCGCGGAGAGGCACGCGCACGCACGACGCACGCACGCACUACGCACGCGCCUCCGGCUAGGAAGCCGCUGCUGCCCAGCCAGUCCGGCCACUGCCCCGGCCCGGCUGGAGCUUCUAGGGCCCGGAAGCGGGCGGCGCCGUUGGGCAGUCCCCCCAGGUGGUCUCCGGGGCCGCCUCCCCGACAGCGCCGUCUCCAGGCCGCCCAGUUCAGGAGACGGCCCGGCCCUCACCGCUGUUCGGCUGUGUCAGCCUCGCUUGGCAGCCUUUACCUCGGAGAAGACCUUCACCCUGGCACCUGAGAGGACCUCACCCAGAGUGGCCCGUCAGCAGCACCCGGGCCUGGCUCGAGAGUGACCUGGGAGGGGGCUGAAAGGGCAGACAAGGGAGAGUCGGGGGAGUCGGUUCACAGGCAGCACACUUGACCUGUGAGGGGGCCCUGGGUGGGACGGUGGGUGAGGUAGCCUCCCACUGGAGCUUAGGGCUGGCACCCAGCGAGGGGCAGCAGGACCACGUGGCUGGCAAGGAGCUGUUUAGGGCUGAGAGCCAGGCACCUAAUGUUGGUGCCCUGCCCCAUCCCAUCGAGGACACGCGGCCUUACGGAGCCCCCGUGGGACGGGGCAGCCACCUUUUCUCAGGAUCCAGGAGACUGACGUGGCCACAUGCAGAAAUGAGCAAGGAGGCCACAGAGGCUUAAAAUGCUUUAAGAAACAAUUCUAAGUUUCAGCAACUUGUUACCCCAUCUGCUUCCUCCUUUGCAACCACCUGUGGAGUGGGGAGACAAGCUCUUCCUGCAGACUCUUUUUUCCCGAGGAUCCUGUUAAGAUUGUCCGGGCCCAAGGGCAGUACAUGUACGAUGAACAGGGGGCAGAAUACAUCGAUUGCAUCAGCAAUGUGGCGCACGUUGGGCACUGCCACCCUCUCGUGGUCCGAGCAGCACAUGAACAGAACCAGGUGCUCAACACCAACAGCCGGUACCUGCAUGACAACAUCGUGGACUAUGCGCAGAGGCUGUCAGAGACCCUGCCGGAGCAGCUCUGUGUGUUCUAUUUCCUGAAUUCUGGGUCAGAAGCCAAUGACCUGGCCCUGAGGCUGGCUCGCCACUACACGGGACACCAGGACGUGGUGGUAUUAGAUCAUGCGUAUCACGGCCACCUGAGCUCCCUGAUUGACAUCAGUCCCUACAAGUUCCGCAACCUGGAUGGCCAGAAGGAGUGGGUCCACGUGGUAUGCACUGCCCAACUCAACAACAGGUCGGUGCCUGUCCCCAAGCCCGGAUAACAUGGCGCUGUCACUCCCCACAGGCACCUCUCCCAGACACCUACCGGGGCCCCUACCGGGAGGACCACCCCAACCCAGCUAUGGCCUAUGCCAACGAGGUGAAACGUGUGGUCAGCAGUGCACAGGAGAAGGGCAGGAAGAUUGCAGCCUUCUUUGCUGAGUCUCUGCCCAGUGUGGGAGGGCAGAUCAUUCCCCCUGCUGGCUACUUCUCCCAAGUGGCAGAGCACAUCCGCAAGGCCGGAGGGGUCUUUGUUGCAGAUGAGAUCCAGGUUGGCUUUGGCCGAGUAGGCAAGCACUUCUGGGCCUUCCAGCUCCAGGGAAAAGACUUCGUCCCUGACAUCGUCACCAUGGGCAAGUCCAUUGGCAAUGGCCACCCUGUUGCCUGCGUGGCCACAACCCAGCCUGUGGCAAGGGCAUUUGAAGCCACUGGCGUUGAGUACUUCAACACGUUUGGGGGCAGCCCGGUGUCCUGCGCUGUGGGGCUGGCCGUCCUGAAUGUCUUGGAGAAGGAGCAGCUCCAGGCUCAUGCCACCAGUGUAGGCAGCUUCCUGAUGGAGCUCCUCGGGCAGCAAAAAAUCAAACAUCCCAUCGUCGGGGAUGUCAGGGGUGUUGGGCUCUUCAUUGGUGUGGAUCUGAUCAAAGAUGAGGCCACAAGGACCCCAGCAACUGAAGAGGCUGCCUACUUGGUAUCAAGGCUGAAGGAGAACUACGUUUUGCUGAGCACUGAUGGCCCUGGGAGGAACAUCCUGAAGUUUAAGCCGCCAAUGUGCUUCAGCCUGGACAAUGCACGGCAGGUGGUGGCAAAGCUGGAUGCCAUUCUGACUGACAUGGAAGAGGAGGUGAGAAGUUGUGAGACGCUGAGGCUCCAGCCCUAAGCCAGCCCUGCUCUGCCUAAGUGUACUCCAGAAGAAACUCAUCUCAUCCAAAUACACACUAUUGAGAAGGCCAGCCUGACCUCCCUCUUACAGAUAAAGUCAGUUUUCAGAGGCUCAGGGUGGGGGGCCUGCCUGAGGCCAUAAUGCUACCCACCCCUCCUCCUAACCGCUGGUGUGUGGGGAUAACCCAGAUGUCUGCAUCCCCUCAAGUCAGUCAGUUUCCUUUCUGUCCACUGGGGGUGGAAUGGGGUAAGGUGGGGUACUUUCAAAUGCUCCUGCUUAAAUAAAUUAGACCAGACCAGUGUAUUUCUAAAGAAAAUCCUGACACGCACCCCCAUUAAAAAUAGUACAUUUUACAGUG
RNAcentral lists this small RNA (2852 nucleotides) under Pongo abelii (Sumatran orangutan). RNAcentral describes it as "retained intron". The record is from RNAcentral. Lineage: Eukaryota; Metazoa; Chordata; Mammalia; Primates; Hominidae.